Long non-coding RNA from Rhododendron vialii, 730 nucleotides. RefSeq lists it as uncharacterized. The record is from RefSeq and is a predicted model, not a curated record. Lineage: Eukaryota; Viridiplantae; Streptophyta; Magnoliopsida; Ericales; Ericaceae. The transcript has 2 exons.
GUGGGAAUUCUGUAGGAAGCUUCUCCCACGGCUAUAAAAGGACCCUAAGCUUUAGGAUUCCACACAACUCAUAAAUUAACUUACCAAGAGUCCCUAAAACCAAAAUCAAAUUCCCAAAAAACGAAAACUAUUUUCUCUUUGAAGUCUUGUUCUAGCCUUUCCAUUCUCCAAAAACAAAAAUCCAAUCCUUAUAAAUAGACUAGAAAAAUUAAAAAAAAAAAAAACCAUUGCUUAAAUCCACUUUCCAUAUUCCGAAACAUACUGAAAAACCCUUUCUUCGUAAUCCAAGUCGUCGAAGCAUUAGUCGAGGAAAGUUCUUUUACGGCAGAAUCGUGCUUAUCCGCCAAGUUUGUACUUUGAAGGAAAUAUCCGGGGUUGAUCAAAGAAGUUAAAUCCUUCGUCUAAUUUACAAUUUUCGGCCAUAAUGGAGGAUUUGGUCAAGACUGCUAGACUCUACUACAGUAAAAGCUCACCAGACAUCAAACAAGCAGCACACAAUUUUUUCACUUCACUCGACAACAACAACGACGGGAAGGUGAGUCUCCAUGAAUUUCUAUGGUUUAUGCGGCAGGAAGGCCACACGAAAAUGAGCAAUCGCCAUUUCGAUUACUGAAGUUGGUGCUACUUGAAUGUAACGAUAAUGCCAACUCUAUCUUGUACGGGUUAAGAGAAAUUGCUUUGAUAAUUGAACAAUAGAGAGCGAAAAUCUGAAGGGUGCAAUGCUCUUGAU